RNAcentral lists this ribosomal RNA (503 nucleotides) under uncultured bacterium. Its description in RNAcentral is "partial 16S ribosomal RNA". It matches the Rfam family "Bacterial small subunit ribosomal RNA", at positions 30 to 523 of the family's 1533-position model. The record is from RNAcentral.
AUUGAACGCUGGCGGCAGGCUUAACACAUGCAAGUCGAGCGGGGUGAUGGUGCUUGCACUAUCACUUAGCGGCGGACGGGUGAGUAAUGCUUAGGAAUCAACCUAUUAGUGGGGGACAACAUCUCGAAAGGGAUGCUAAUACCGCAUACGUCCUACGGGAGAAAGCAGGGGAUCACUUGUGACCUUGCGCUAAUAGAUGAGCCUAAGUCGGAUUAGCUAGUUGGUGGGGUAAAGGCCUACCAAGGCGACGAUCUGUAGCGGGUCUGAGAGGAUGAUCCGAAACACUGGGACUCGGACACGGCCCAGACUCCGACGAGAGGUAGCAGUGGGGAAUAUUGGACAAUGGGGGCAACCCUGAUCCAGCCAUGCCGCGUGUGUGAAGAAGGCCUUAGCGUUGUAAAGCACUUUAAGCGAGGAGGAGGCUCUUUUGGUUAAUACCCAAGAUGAGUGGACGUUACUCGCAGAAUCAGCACCGGCUAACUCUGUGCCAGCCGCCGCCGUAA